UGGGGAAUAUUGCACAAUGGACGGAAGUCUGAUGCAGCGACGCCGCGUGGGGGAUGAAGGCUUUCGGGUUGUAAACUCCUUUCAGUACAGAAGAAGCUUUAUUGUGACGGUAUGUGCAGAAGAAGCGCCGGCUAACUACGUGCCAGCAGCCGCGGUAAUACGUAGGGCGCGAGCGUUGUCCGGAAUUAUUGGGCGUAAAGAGCUCGUAGGCGGUUUGUCGCGUCUGCUGUGAAAGACCGGGGCUUAACUCCGGGGCUGCAGUGGGUACGGGCAGGCGGGAGUGCGGUAGGGGUAACCGGAAUUCCUGGUGUAGCGGUGGAAUGCGCAGAUAUCAGGAGGAACACCGAUGGCGAAGGCAGGUUACUGGGCCGUUACUGACGCUGAGGAGCGAAAGCAUGGGGAGCGAACAGG
RNAcentral lists this ribosomal RNA (411 nucleotides) under Verrucomicrobiota bacterium. Its description in RNAcentral is "Verrucomicrobia bacterium partial 16S ribosomal RNA". It matches the Rfam family "Bacterial small subunit ribosomal RNA", at positions 355 to 776 of the family's 1533-position model. The record is from RNAcentral. Lineage: Bacteria; Pseudomonadati; Verrucomicrobiota.